This 536-nucleotide long non-coding RNA is filed under the name Fragaria vesca (wild strawberry). RNAcentral's name for it is "long non-coding RNA (FVES_LNC004865)". Lineage: Eukaryota; Viridiplantae; Streptophyta; Magnoliopsida; Rosales; Rosaceae. The record is from RNAcentral.
UGCUUGGGUUUUGCCCUUCUUCAGAAGGCUUUUUAAUUUAAAUUGAAGAUAUAUAAAAAAUAAAAUAGAUAAUUUACAACAUGAACACUGUUAACCUCUGUUAAGUUUAUGGACAGGUGUCAACUUCUUAGUCGUGGCACAGGGUUGGCACUGGUUAAAUGGGAACAGAUGAUUUACUUCCUGCUAUGUCACCUAAACACAUCACCAAUUAAAAAAAUUAUGUCAUAUCAUUCUUAAAUAAAAAAGCAAUCUUAUCCUUCUAAUCUAAUGGCUCUAAAUUAUUGUCUUUUUAUUAAGAGAAAAAAUUUAAUUGUUUUGUCUUUGUUUUAUAUCAAAACUAUAUAUUUCUAACCUUUUCUUUCUCUUUUUUCCUUUUUAUCACUAUCAUGCACUAAAAUAUAACGUGAAAAUACAUAUAAUUUUGAGAAUAUACUAGUUCAAAAAUGUGAAUUCUUAAGGAUAAAUAUACACACACACACACACAUACAUACAUAUAUAAUUUUUGUUUAAGGAAAAACAAUUUCAUCCAAGAACAA